AGAGGACUUCGAGACAAGAUAUUUCAGCUAAGUUUGAGUUGGAAAUGCCCCAUACUAAGGCACUCGGGUGACAUCACCAUUAACCACUCAAGUGAAACCCAAGACACUUGCUGGCCAGGAAAUUACAGCCUUGGAGACCAUCUUCCUAUUUGUGUAUGUGGAACUGCGUCUGCCUCUUCAACCCCUCUACACCUCCCU
This is a long non-coding RNA of Balaenoptera ricei (Rice's whale), 198 nucleotides long. RefSeq lists it as uncharacterized. Lineage: Eukaryota; Metazoa; Chordata; Mammalia; Artiodactyla; Balaenopteridae. The record is from RefSeq and is a predicted model, not a curated record. The transcript is spliced from 3 exons.